GGAAGGGCCAUAGCUCAGUGGCAGAGCAUCUGCCUUGCAAGCAGAAGGUCCAGGGUUCAAUCCCUGGCCUCUCCA
Non-coding RNA from Podarcis lilfordi (Lilford's wall lizard), 75 nucleotides. The record is from the annotation of a GenBank genome assembly. Lineage: Eukaryota; Metazoa; Chordata; Lepidosauria; Squamata; Lacertidae.